GAGUUUGAUCAUGGCUCAGAUUGAACGCUGGCGGCAUGCCUAACACAUGCAAGUCGAACGGUAACAGGUCUUCGGAUGCUGACGAGUGGCGGACGGGUGAGUAAUGCGUAGGAAUCUGUCUUUUAGUGGGGGACAACCCAGGGAAACUUGGGCUAAUACCGCAUGAGCCCUGAGGGGGAAAGCGGGGGAUCUUCGGACCUCGCGCUAAGAGAGGAGCCUACGUCCGAUUAGCUAGUUGGCGGGGUAAAGGCCCACCAAGGCGACGAUCGGUAGCUGGUCUGAGAGGACGACCAGCCACACUGGGACUGAGACACGGCCCAGACUCCUACGGGAGGCAGCAGUGGGGAAUUUUUCGCAAUGGGGGCAACCCUGACGAAGCAAUGCCGCGUGGAUGAAGAAGGCCUUCGGGUUGUGAAGUCCUUUCGUGGAGGACGAAAAGGUGGGUUCUAAUACAAUCUGCUAUUGACGUGAAUCCAAGAAGAAGCACCGGCUAACUCCGUGCCAGCAGCCGCGGUAAUACGGGGGGUGCAAGCGUUAAUCGGAAUCACUGGGCGUAAAGGGUGCGUAUGCGGUACGUUAGGUCUGUCGUGAAAUCCCCGGGCUCAACCUGGGAAUGGCGG
RNAcentral lists this ribosomal RNA (620 nucleotides) under uncultured bacterium. Its description in RNAcentral is "bacterial SSU rRNA". It matches the Rfam family "Bacterial small subunit ribosomal RNA", at positions 9 to 626 of the family's 1533-position model. The record is from RNAcentral.